GGAGAAGUCGUUAGCGAAGUCACAAGGCCCUCUACUUUUCAUUAUAAAACCGAUAAACCAGAAAAAGGAUUGUUUUGCGAUAGUAUCUUUGGACCCAUAAAAAGCGGGAUUUGCGCUUGUGGGUCUCGAGCGAGCGGAGCUGAAAACAAAGACGAAAGAUUUUGCCAAAAAUGCGGGGUCGAAUUUGUGGAUUCUCGGAUACGAAGAUAUCAAAUGGGAUACAUCAAACUCGCAUGUCCCGUGACUCAUGUGUGGUAUUUGAAAGGUCUUUCUAGUUAUAUCGCGAAUGUUUUAGAUAAACCUCUUAAGACACUACUAGGGAAAACCUUAUACACAGAAUGUUACCAGUAG
This 351-nucleotide ribosomal RNA is filed under the name Triticum aestivum (bread wheat). RNAcentral's name for it is "partial small subunit ribosomal RNA". The record is from RNAcentral. Lineage: Eukaryota; Viridiplantae; Streptophyta; Magnoliopsida; Poales; Poaceae.